GGGAGGGGAGAGGAGAAGGGAGAGAGAGGGAGAGAGGAAUGAGAGGAGGGUCAGGGCCGAGUGCACGACGGCAGAGUGCAGCAGGGGUUCUUCCGGCAGGUGAUUUUUUGCAAAAGCGAUGCGAAAUCGGAAUUUUCCCUUCUUAGUAUUGAAAUAUUUUGGAACUCAUGCGACGUGCCGCUAUGAAAUCGAAUCGUGGUCACCAUUGUCCAGGAGGCUCCCUAGACCCGAAGUCGAUUGGUGGAAAAUUGGAGGAUUUUUUUACAAAAUUCCACGCACCUGCCUGCUAGUGGACAGC
RNAcentral lists this long non-coding RNA (298 nucleotides) under Setaria viridis. RNAcentral's name for it is "long non-coding RNA (SVIR_LNC007471)". Lineage: Eukaryota; Viridiplantae; Streptophyta; Magnoliopsida; Poales; Poaceae. The record is from RNAcentral.